Molecule: long non-coding RNA, 433 nt
Filed under: Homo sapiens (human)
Lineage: Eukaryota; Metazoa; Chordata; Mammalia; Primates; Hominidae
Description: non-protein coding lnc-CEP55-1:1
Source: RNAcentral
CUCGCCUGACAAUCUUUGUGUGCUGGUGGCCCCCUUUCAUCUUGUAGCCUCCACCAUCACUGCAGCAGGGGAAGAGAGAGAUGGAAAUGGUGCACCGGUUUUUGGGUUUUAGUUUUUUUUUUUUUUUUUUUUAACACGGAGUUUCACUCUUACUGCCUAGGCUGGAGUGCAAUGGCGCAAUAUUGGCUCACUGCAACCUCCACCUCCCGGGUUCAAACAAUUCUCCUGUCUCAGCCUCCUGAGUGGCUGGGAAGGGCAAUUGACCCAGGAAAGGAAACAGCAAGAUGAACACAUUGUAUUGUGUGCCGCACACUGCCACCCCCACAUGUCAGGGAAGGAGGGUCUUGGGAAGGCUGCUGGGUGGGUGACUGCCACUCCACCUCACUUCCACUUACUCCCCAACCAGGCCAGCAAGUCUGGUCACAGAUGUGGC